AAACAAAGGAAGAACAGCGGAAAAGAAUUGCAAAAUCGGCUGAAGGGAAAAUGGAACGGGCCAAUGCGCCAUCGAUCCAACCAACUUGUAUGGUUUUUUUCUUUUCUUUUCUUUCCCUUCUCUUUUCACAACUGU
This 135-nucleotide non-coding RNA is filed under the name Chromera velia. Lineage: Eukaryota; Chromeraceae. The record is from RNAcentral.